This 504-nucleotide ribosomal RNA is filed under the name uncultured bacterium. Its description in RNAcentral is "partial 16S ribosomal RNA". It matches the Rfam family "Bacterial small subunit ribosomal RNA", at positions 28 to 523 of the family's 1533-position model. The record is from RNAcentral.
GAUGAACGCUAGCGGCAGGCUUAACACAUGCAAGUCGAGGGGCGGCAUAAAUAGUAGCAAUACUAUUGGUGGCGACCGGCGGACGGGUGCGUAACGCGUAUACAACCUUCCCUAAACAGGGGGAUAAGCUGGAGAAAUUCGGUCUAAUACCCCAUAACAUCAGAGCAGGCAUCUGUUUUGGUUAAAAUUUCCGGAGGUUUAGGAUGGGUAUGCGUAGCAUUAGCUAGUUGGUGAGGUAACGGCUCACCAAGGCGACGAUGCUUAGGGGGACUGAGAGGUUAACACCCCACACUGGUACUGAGACACGGACCAGACUCCUACGGGAGGCAGCAGUGAGGAAUAGUGGUGAAUGGGCGGAAGCCUGAACCAGCCAUGCCGCGUGCAGGAUGACGGCUCUAUGAGUUGUAAACUGCUUUUGUACGAGGGUAAAGUGGGCUACGUGUAGCCUUUUGAAAGUAUCGUACGAAUAAGGAUCGGCUAACUCCGUGCCAGCCGCCGCAGUAA